GAGAGAGAGAGAGAGAACCUAAUUGUGUAAGUAUAGAGAAACCCUAACCAGCAACAGUUUGAUUUCUUACCCCUUAUGUAUAACAGCUGCAAUUUCUCAUCUAAUGAUGGCUUCUAUGUUUUGUUGCUUUAAUUUGAUUUAGUGUGCAAUAUGUUAAACUCACAUACAUAGUCAAAUCAAUAAUGAAAAUCUACAGAUGAAACAACAUUAUAGAGUAAGAAAAAGAGAGAUAGUGCCUGGCUGAAAGCACACCUGGUGAUUCUCACCUGCCUUUUGCUGGUUGAUGACUAUUAUUUGAUUUCAUAAAUAACUAGAAGAUUAUACAUUUUAUUGCAAUAUCAAGUGAUGUUGUACACCACCUCUACUGAUUGAUGUCCUUGCUAAGUUUUCAUUCACUACAGGACAAUAAUAAUGGACAUUAGCAGAAAUUAAUGUUUAACUAGCACUGUCCUCCCCCCCACUUAUAUAUAAACAAAUAUUAUUGUUUGUACAAUCCUCUCCAAACUGUUAGCUU
This 514-nucleotide unclassified non-coding RNA is filed under the name Hevea brasiliensis (rubber tree). Lineage: Eukaryota; Viridiplantae; Streptophyta; Magnoliopsida; Malpighiales; Euphorbiaceae. The record is from RNAcentral.